CAAGAUGGCGGCCUCGUCGGUUGUGUCAAUGUGGAGAUGGAGAUUAAACACGUGUAUUAAAGGAUUGCUUUAAGGAUUGAAUAAUGUAUGCACAGACAUCUCCAAAAUGGGGGCUGUAUGACUGAAGGCACUAUCACAUGGAGUGAUUGCAUCUGGCGUUCAGUGCCAUCCAGGCCAGCUGCAUUCAUUUGCUGUACAUUUCUGGUCCUCAGUUGGGUACGCCUGCUAUCAGCCUGCCAUUGGAUUAGUAUUCCAGUAUACUAUAAAACAGGCUUACGCCCAACCAGGAAGGAGUUUCUUGCUUGUAGGGGCUGUGCUGUCAACAGAACAAGAAACCAGAAGGUUCUAUGGACUUAUGCAGUGUGCCCAUCUCUCCUUGGCAGGGCACUCUCCCAAGAUGGUUUGCUCUUCACUCACCUCCACAGUUCCUUGGUUUUUGAAACCUCAUUCCAGACCUAGAACAAGAGAGAAAAAGAGUAUCUGGGCAGUCAAUAUGAGUCAGCACCUGCCAGGCUCUGUGAAAGGUACAGGCAGCUGCUUCAGACUCAGAACCUACACUCAAUAAAAUACACCCUGGGGAAUUAGCAACUUAUCUGGACAAACAAAACAACCAAAUAAUGAGUAUGAAAGGAGAGAACGACCAACUCAAUGAGACCAACGGGCACAGAAAUGUUUACUGGUAAAAUCCCAAAGGACGAGUGGGUGUUCCCUACAAGAAAAGGGCAGGAAGAGGUAGAACCACUGGGCCAAGCCAUGAGAAGUGUGUCUUAAUUAGAAUCUAUGUUUCUGGGUGCUGGAGAUUGGAUUUGACCAAAUCCCUUAAAUCAUAAUGGCAAAAACAGAAGCAAGUACGAAUUCAGAGUGGGGGAGUGGUAGGUCAAACUGCUUUAGGAUGAUCACUCUGCUAGCUGUGAGAAGGAAGGACUGGAAAUAAGGGCAGAGCAGCAGUCCUGAAGCUGGGGCCCUGGGCACUGGUCCAGGGAAUGUCCCAGAAAGACCAAGAGAGCAGUAAAGAUCAGUCACCUCGGGGAGGGCACUCUUUGGGCCCUCGAUGCAGGCUCGGGGUGGCCCAGAAGAGGAUGAGAGUGCCUCACUCCUACCCUUCCUCUGUGAAAACAGCCAAGGCUCCAGCUCCUGCACUGUGCCAGGCUGGCGGAGUGACUCUGGGCAGCUGUUUGAUACCUUCCUUAUUCAUGAACACCAGUACUUUUUUGGGACAUUAAAAAUUAUA
This is a long non-coding RNA of Talpa occidentalis (Iberian mole), 1231 nucleotides long. RefSeq lists it as uncharacterized. The transcript has 4 exons. The record is from RefSeq and is a predicted model, not a curated record. NCBI's taxonomy places the organism in Eukaryota, Metazoa, Chordata, Mammalia, Eulipotyphla, Talpidae.